UAUCUCUCCGUACGGGGAAGGAUGAGAAGCUUCGACUAAGGUUCGAUUCGAGCGCAGCGAGAAAACGUUGCCGCAGGCAACGACCCGAAGGGUGAGGAGCGGAGCGACGAAUAAUC
This 116-nucleotide small RNA is filed under the name Salmonella enterica. RNAcentral describes it as "partial RtT sRNA". It matches the Rfam family "RtT RNA", at positions 1 to 115 of the family's 130-position model. Rfam says of the family: This family represents a bacterial cis-regulatory element known as RtT RNA. The exact function of RtT is unknown although it is thought that it may be involved in changing the cellular response in relation to amino acid starvation. The record is from RNAcentral. Lineage: Bacteria; Pseudomonadati; Pseudomonadota; Gammaproteobacteria; Enterobacterales; Enterobacteriaceae.